RNAcentral lists this ribosomal RNA (465 nucleotides) under uncultured bacterium. RNAcentral describes it as "bacterial SSU rRNA". It matches the Rfam family "Bacterial small subunit ribosomal RNA", at positions 329 to 792 of the family's 1533-position model. The record is from RNAcentral.
GACCAGACUCCUACGGGAGGCAGCAGUGAGGAAUAUUGGUCAAUGGUCGGGAGACUGAAUCAGCCAAGCCGCGUGAGGGAUGAAGGUACAGAGUAUCGUAAACCUCUUUUGUCAGGGAACAAAGGCGGGGACGCGUCCCCGGAUGAGUGUACCUGAAGAAAAAGCAUCGGCUAACUCCGUGCCAGCAGCCGCGGUAAUACGGAGGAUGCGAGCGUUAUCCGGAUUUAUUGGGUUUAAAGGGUGCGCAGGCGUUGUUGUAAGACCGGGGACAGACCCGGGGGCUCACCCCCGCCCCGCCGUUGAAACUGGCAGUCUCGAGUUGGAGAGAAGUAUGCGGAAUGCGCGGUGUAGCGGUGAAAUGCAUAGAUAUCGCGCAGAACUCCGAUUGCGAAGGCAGCAUGCCGGCUCCACACUGACGCUGAGGCACGAAAGCGUGGGUAUCGAACAGGAUUAGAUACCCCUGUA